RNAcentral lists this ribosomal RNA (773 nucleotides) under uncultured Neocallimastigales. RNAcentral's name for it is "partial large subunit ribosomal RNA". It matches the Rfam family "Eukaryotic large subunit ribosomal RNA", at positions 24 to 644 of the family's 3401-position model. The record is from RNAcentral. Lineage: Eukaryota; Fungi; Neocallimastigomycota; Neocallimastigomycetes; Neocallimastigales.
AUCUCUGUAGAGUCUGCAUAUCAAUAAGCGGAGGAAAAGAAACUAACAAGGAUUCCCUUAGUAACGGCGAGUGAAGCGGGAAGAGCUCAAAUUUGAAAUCUUCAAGGUUCUACCUUGACGAAUUGUAGUUUAAAGAAGUGUUUUCUGUUAGAUGAGUAGCAAAAGUUCCUUGGAAUGGGACAUCAUAGAGGGUGAGAAUCCCGUAUUUGGUUAUUCAUUCUAGCUUUGUGAUACACUUUCAAAGAGUCGGAUUGUUUGGGAAUGCAGUCCAAAAUGGGUGGUAAAUUACAUCUAAAGCUAAAUAUUGGCGAGAGACCGAUAGCGAACAAGUACCGUGAGGGAAAGAUGAAAAGAACUUUGAAGAGAGAGUUAAAUAGUACGUGAAAUUGUCAAAAGGGAAGCGUUUGACACCAGUGUUGUUUUUCCGAAAAUCAAUUACGAAUGGCUUGAUUUUGUGUUGUAUUGACCUUAUCAGCUUUCUUCACUUUCUUCGAGUCUUUCUUAAUGCACUUUUCAGUUAACAAGUCAACAUCAAUUUCUUUUGUUGUAAAAGAGUAUUCGGAAGGUGGCUUUCUUUUCGGAGAAAGUGUUUAUAGCCCUAUACUUCUACAAUCGGAGAGAUUGAGGUCUGCAGCGUAGAUCCUUCGGGGUUAGAUACAUUUGUGCUAAGUUGUAGCUUUUCAUAGACAACUUGUUGACUAUGUUUAGUCAUGCGGCUUACUCGCUUAUGCUAUUUUACCUACGCUUAGGAUGUUGACUGAUAUGUAGUCGUA